AAACAGGCCCUUUUUAGGGCCACAAUUCUUUCGACAGAGGUCUCC
This is a non-coding RNA of Oikopleura dioica, 45 nucleotides long. The record is from Rfam. Lineage: Eukaryota; Metazoa; Chordata; Appendicularia; Copelata; Oikopleuridae.